CUACCCCCUGUUAGAGACCAAUGAAUUCUGAGUCUUCACUUUACUUCCCCACACCACAGAGAUAUGGACUGGGCAACCUUGUUAGGUGACAGAGGAUACUACUGCCCUUCAAUCAGACCACCUGUCAGUGUACAUGCUGCUGUUUUCCUGAGGCUGUGUACAUUCAAGCUGUCAUAUAAGAGGCAGAGUGAAGUCUAUGACGGACGCCUGUGGGCAUUCAAUCACAGAGGAUGAGGUUUCCCAGCACAGUCAGCUCAGCAAGGCCCAUGUCAGUCACAUGGCUAAUGACCGUUUCAGUGACGGCUUCCUAUCAACAUAAUAAGAAGCACCUGUUAGCGGGGGAGCCCAAACUUGGAGAAGGGUGUAAUCAACCCCGGGGGACUGAUUGAAUCCUUCCUUCUGACGGUGGAGAUGCACUUCAGCGCAAUGCCGCCUCCACCCAGGGUCACUGGAAAAGGAUCUUCCUGGAUUACUCGAGGAUGGGCACACCGGAUGAGCCUUAUUGCAUGACGACUGUAAACAUGAUGCAAGGGAAGCCUGUGGAAGUCUUGGCGGAUGGCUCCUGGUCGAUUAAGGCCAUUGUAUAAUUUCAUGUCUUCCUAAGCACAAUGAGCAAUGAGAUUAAGUUCAAUUUGGACCUGUUCUUGGAUUUCCCAACUCCGUCAAGGCUCGAGCCCCCGCCAUGUCAGCCUGGGCCCACUGGGAAAUCAGUGAUCUCCAGACAGGUCACCGCUGGCCCAUGUAUAUAUUCAUGGGCUUAAUCUCGCAUUAUUUCUAUGGCAUGGGGAAAAGAAAUGCAUUCAAUUUACACUCUUUCCAUCUGCCUCAUACAGUACACACAGGGGAGGCAUCCAUAUGUGUGUCUAACAUGCUAAGGAUUCAUACAGUUAGCGCAAAAUGUUUUGGGAGGCAGAAUCCAGCUUGUGAAUUUUAGCCUGUAUGCUUUAACUCAGAGCGGAGCUUCAGUAGGAGACUGCUGGUUGGAGUGGAAGGCUUCAAGUUGUCUCCGGCAGAUGCUGAUUGUGUAUUAAACAGAUUAAUUAUUAAAACAUGCUUGACAGAUGAAAAGUGGGACCUCAGGCUAAAGAGAGAAUGUUUAUUCUUCUGCCAUAUACUGUAGUCAUUUGGCUCCCGCUCACAAGUUAUUGGGCACCUUGUUGAGGAUUUGAGGGCUUGGUGUCAUAUGUGCGACGCACAAACCAUUUGGGGCUGUCCAGACCGGCAGGGCUCUUAUGGAAAAUAUGAGGCCUUUUAUAGACCUGACUUACUGAUUCAAAGGUCUGUCUGUGGGUAUUGUGUCUUGACAUGGUGACAGGAUACUAGAAACCUCUCAGGAGUAACAUAUAGAUUGUUAAGAUUAUUUGCACUAUAAAUCUCUGUUAAUAAUUAACAUUUA
Molecule: long non-coding RNA, 1396 nt
Organism: Carassius carassius (crucian carp)
Lineage: Eukaryota; Metazoa; Chordata; Actinopteri; Cypriniformes; Cyprinidae
Exons: 3
Source: RefSeq, a predicted model, not a curated record